This is a non-coding RNA of Schistocerca piceifrons (Central American locust), 73 nucleotides long. Lineage: Eukaryota; Metazoa; Arthropoda; Insecta; Orthoptera; Acrididae. The record is from the annotation of a RefSeq genome assembly.
UCCUGGAUGGCGAAGUGGUUAACGCACCUGCCUAGUAAGCUGGAGGUCCCGGGUUCGAAUCCCGAUCCAGCAC